UACGGGGGGGGCAAGCGUUGUUCGGAAUUACUGGGCGUAAAGGGCGCGUAGGCGGCCUUCUAAGUCGGACGUGAAAUCCCUCGGCUUAACCGAGGAACUGCGUCCGAUACUGAAAGGCUUGAAUCCGGGAGAGGGAUGUGGAAUUCCAGGUGUAGCGGUGAAAUGCGUAGAUAUCUGGAGGAACACCGGUGGCGAAGGCGGCAUCCUGGACCGGUAUUGACACUGAGGCGCGAAAGCUAGGGUAGCAAACGGG
RNAcentral lists this ribosomal RNA (253 nucleotides) under uncultured bacterium. Its description in RNAcentral is "partial 16S ribosomal RNA". It matches the Rfam family "Bacterial small subunit ribosomal RNA", at positions 524 to 776 of the family's 1533-position model. The record is from RNAcentral.